This is a long non-coding RNA of Carassius gibelio (silver crucian carp), 1906 nucleotides long. RefSeq lists it as uncharacterized. The transcript has 2 exons. The record is from RefSeq and is a predicted model, not a curated record. NCBI's taxonomy places the organism in Eukaryota, Metazoa, Chordata, Actinopteri, Cypriniformes, Cyprinidae.
CAAACAGGAGGAUGAGGCGAUGUACGCACGUGUCGCAGGAAAAGCUGUUUAAACUCUUUAAUGAUACGGUGAUUACAGUGAUUUUACACAAAUGCUAGUAAGAUGGAUAUAGCAACAAAGCUGUUAAACAUGCAAAAGUGUGGUUUGGUUUAUAUGAUGUUUCAGAGAAGUGCUUUCCACAAAAAAACUGCUUUUUUUAAGUGCAUGUAAACAGGGUCACUAUUAAUAAAUAUAUUAAUAGUGACAUUAUAAUAAAAAUAUUAUAUAGGACCCUUACUGCUCUGUUAAAAAACAAUUAGGUUUGUCUUCCUUUAAAGAGAUAGUUCACCCAAAAACAAAUGUUUGCUGUUAAUUUAUUCACCCUGAUAUCAUUCAAGAUGAAGGUGACACUUUUUUCCUUCAGUAGAAUGGUAAAGAAGAUUUUAAGCUGAUACUGUUGUCUUUGGUCAUUCAUGUAAUGCAAGUCAGCAGCUACCAGCAAUUGCAAGUCUAAAAAAACAAUCAUAUGCAGGUUAGACAAAAGAAAUAACCAAUAUUGAGAGGUCUUAUGAAGUGAAACGAUCGGUGUGUGUAAAAAACGGAACAUUUUACAAUAUUAUUACCUCAACUUGAAACAAACAGUCCCGAGUGACGUCCGGUUCGUGACUGAAUCAUUCUUUUGAACUGUUUUUUAAAAUUGAACUGAAUCAUGAACCAGUUCACCAAAUCAGACUGAACCAUCUGUAACCUAAUUAAAGUUUUUAUACUUUCGUAUGGUUUCUGUAACAAUGUGAGCUGAUGAAGACUAAUUUAUUCACCUGCUUAAGACAUCAUCAUAUUGGGUUUUAAUAAUAUAAUUGCAUGUAUGGUAUGUCAAUGCAUGAUUAUGUAAAGAAACUAUAGUGAACCAGUUUAUUGAAAUGAACCGUCAGAAAGAACCAGUUUGCAGAAAAAGAAUCAGAUUUCCCCAUUUACCUCAAUUUCUGCAAAUAAUUUAAACACAAUAAUUUAAUUCUUGCACAAACUGAUCGUUUCACUUCAUAAGACCUCAAAAUAUCGUCAGGAGUCAAAGGUAUUAAUUUUGUGCUCCUUUUAUGAAUCAACAAGGAGCACAUUUUCAGCUAAAAUCUUUUGCUGUUCUGCUGAAGAAAAAAAGUCACCUCUCUUGGAUGGACUGAGGAUGAGUAAAUUAACAGCAAAUGUCAUUUUUGAGUGAACUGUUCCUUUAAGUGCAUGUAAGCUCUGAACAGCAAUAUUACCACUUUAUUCAAAUGUUUUUAUUUGUGUUGUAUGCAAUUUAGAUUUCUGUUAAUGUCAUUUAGAUCAUUUUUAAUGAUAUGCUUAUUGUGAUCCUACAUGUUAAUGUGUGUUUCAAUUAAACUAGAGGUCAAAGGGUAAAACAUAAUCACACAGAGAGAAAGUAUUAGAAAUAGAUAAAAAAUAACUCAUCUACAUGUGUAUAGACAUUUAUCUUACAUGGACAUGUAUUGUACAAAGCCACUUCAUUUGUUCCAGCAGCUUAUUUUCUCAAUUCUCUCAGUGCAUUCAUAUCAAAAGUCAUAUUUAAAAAGCAGACAGCCAUUCUGAGAGUCAAAUUAAAACCACUGAGAAAAUUUUAGCAAAAAAAAUCAAUUUUUUAUAUUAGCAGUAAACUUACGAUAUCGCUAUCUUUUUAUAGUAACAAAAACACAGUCAUUUCACAGAAGGCCUCGUUUAAUAUCUGGAAAGAGAUGUGGUUUUAUUUGUUUAGCUAGACAGCAUGUGCAUGAAAAUGUGUCUAUACCAGACGUCUGUGUUUAAUGUAUGUUAGAGUGCACAUGUCUUGAGGUGUCAAUAGUUUUGGUUAAUAGCAUGUGCAUCCACAAUUUGCAUUCCUCUUUAUGUGAAACCGUUUUACUGCAAAAUAAAGUACAUAUAUGAAUGCUAA